CGAGGAGCAACACAUUGCACGCGGUGUGGUGGCCUUUCUGAGCUUUUUAAAGAGUUUGCUGGAUUUUUGAAGCUUUUCCAAAACUUCUUCUACAGCUGUUUGGUAAGUUGAACUUUUAAAACUUUUUUGGGGUUUUGGGAUUUUGGGUUGGGGUGUUUAGAAUUCAAGGACUUGGUGUUGGGGAGAGGUUUGCAAGAAUCUGGGAGCUUGUGUGGUUUUUUCUGCAUUUUUAUGAUUUUCUGUGACCAUUGGGCCAUGUUUAUUUUUUUUUCAAAACAAUCUGGCUUUGAAUUUUGGAAUUUCUGUGGGCUGGGUGGAUGGGGAACAGCUGGGGAGGUGUUUGCAAGAAUCUGGGAGCUUGUGUGCUUUUUUUGAAUUUUUAUGAUUUUUGUGACCAUUGGGCCAUGUUUUUUUUUUUGAAAAAAAUUUCUGGGUUUUAAAUUUCUGUGUGCUGGGUGGAUGGGGGAACAGCUGGGGAGGUGUUUGCAAGAAUCUGGGAGCUUGUGUGCUUUUUUUUGAAUUUUUAUGAUUUUUUUUUAACAAUGGGCCAAGUUUUUUUUUUUUUGAAAAAAGUUUCUGGGUUUUAAAUUUCUUUGUGCUGGUUGGAUGGGGUAACUGCUGGGGAGGGUUUUGCAGCAAUCUGGGUGAUUGUGUGAUUUUUUUGAAUUUUUAUGGUUUUUGUGACCAUUGGGCCAUGUUGUUUUUUUUGAAAAAAAUUUCUGGGUUUUAAAUUUCUGUGUGCUGGGUGGAUGGGGAACAGCUGGGGAGGUGUUUGCAAGAAUCUGGGAGCUUGUGUGCUUUUUUUUGAAUUUUUAUGAUUUUGUGUGAACAUUGGGCCAUGUUGUUGUUUUUUGAAAAAAAAUUUCUGGGUUUUGAAUUUCUGUGUGCUGGGUGGCUGGGGGAACAGUUGAGGAGGGGUUUGCAGGAAUCUGGGAGCUUGUGUGCUUUUUUUUGAAUUUUUAUGAUUUUUUUGUGACCAUUGGGCCAUGUUGUUUUUUUUUGAAAAAAAUUUCUGGGUUUUAAAUUUCUGUGUGCUGGGUGGAUGGGGGACCAGCUGGGGAGGUGUUUGCAAGAAUCUGGGAGCUUGUGUGGUUUUUUGAAUUUUUAUGGUUUUCUGUAACCAUUGGGCCAUGUUGUUUUUUUUGAAAAAUUUUCUGGGUUUUGAAUUUCUGUGUGCUGGGUGGCUGGGGAACAGUUGAGGAGGGGUUUGCAGGAAUCUGGGAGCUUGUGUGGUUUUUUUUGAAUUUUUAUGGUUUUCUGUAACCAUUGGGCCAUGUUGUUGUUUUUUGAAAAAUUUUUGGGUUUUGAAUUUCUGUGUGCUGGUUGGCUGGGGGAACAGUUGAGGAGGGGUUUGCAGGAAUCUGGGAGCUUGUGUGGUUUUUUUUUUGAAUUUUUAUGGUUUUCUGUAACCAUUGGGCCAUGUUGUUGUUUUUUGAAAAAUUUUCUGGGUUUUGAAUUUCUGUGUGCUGGGUGGCUGGGGGAACAGUUGAGGAGGGGUUUGCAGGAAUCUGGGAGCUUGUGUGGUUUUUUUUUUGAAUUUUUAUGGUUUUCUGUGACCAUUGGGCCAUGUUGUUUUUUUUAAAAAAAUUUUCUGGGUUUUGAAUUUCUGUGUGCUGGGUGGCUGGGGGAACAGUUGAGGAGGGGUUUGCAACAGUUGGGGAGGGGUUUGCAACAGUUGGGGAGGGGCUGGGGGAACAGUUGAGGUUUUUGAAGACUUUGGUGAUUUUUAAAGCUUUCCCAAAACUUCUUUUGCAGCCAUUUGAGGAUUUUGAAGACUUUGGUGAUUUGCAGCCAUUUCGUAAGUUAAACUUUUAAAACUUUUUUUGGGGGUUUUGGAUUUUGGGUUGGGUGUUUGGAAUUCAAGGACUUGGUUGUGGGUUUGAAUUGCUGAUUUUUUUUUUCUUUUUCUGAGUUUUACAAAGGUAACAGCUGUGCUGCCAUGGGACCCAAGAAGACUG
Podarcis lilfordi (Lilford's wall lizard) is the source of this 1958-nucleotide non-coding RNA. The record is from the annotation of a GenBank genome assembly. Lineage: Eukaryota; Metazoa; Chordata; Lepidosauria; Squamata; Lacertidae.